ACGCUCGACACCUACGGGAGGCAGCAGUGGGGAAUAUUGCACAAUGGGGGAAACCCUGAUGCAGCAACGCCGCGUGAAGGAAGACGGUUUUCGGAUUGUAAACUUCUGUUCUUAGUGAAGAUAGUGACGGUAGCUAAGGAGCAAGCCACGGCUAACUACGUGCCACAGCCGCGGUAAUCUGAGCGGCUGGCAAGGC
Molecule: ribosomal RNA, 196 nt
Filed under: uncultured bacterium
Lineage: Bacteria
Description: partial 16S ribosomal RNA
Rfam family: Bacterial small subunit ribosomal RNA
Source: RNAcentral